Molecule: ribosomal RNA, 468 nt
Filed under: uncultured bacterium
Lineage: Bacteria
Description: partial 16S ribosomal RNA
Rfam family: Bacterial small subunit ribosomal RNA
Source: RNAcentral
GGGGGGGGGUGGGGGGGGGGGGGGGGGGGGGGAGGCGGGCGGAGGGGCCGGGCUUGUUUGGUGUACUCGGGGGGCUGACGGGGGAUUAACACGUGAGUACCCUUCCCGUGACUUGUGAAUAAGUUGGUGUGCCGGGGGCGACUACCGUGUCGGAGGUCCUCCUGCAUUUUUAGGUUUGGACAGAGUCGGCGGUUGUGUGUGUCGUCGCUGUUUAUCAGCUGGUGGGGGGUGGAGUGUCUUACGAAGGCUUUGACGGGUAGCCGGCCUGAGAGGGUGACCGGCCAACUUGGGACUGAGAUACGGCCUAGACUCCUACGGGAGGCAGCGGUGGGGAAUAUUGCACAAUGGGCGGAAGCCUGAUGCAGCAACGCCGCGUGCGGGAUGACGGCCUUCGGGUUGUAAACCGCUUUCGCCGGUGACGAAGCGUGAGUGCCGGUAAUGGGUAAAGAAGCACCGGCUAACUACGUG